CAGCAUUCAAUGGGACAUCACCAGCAGUAACUGCAGCAACAACAUUAAUUAUAAGAGCAGCAACGUUAACAGUGAGCUGAAACUGGAUGAAUUUCUGGAUGUUAGCAUAUACGGAUCUGCCCCAUCGGACAACCUUCACAACAGAAGCAAAAUUGUCAUCCAGUAUGAUGAUAUCUGAACUUUCUUUGGCGACUUCAGUUCCAGCAAUUCCCAUAGCAAGACCAAUAUCAGCCUCGUGUAAUGCAGGAGCAUCAUUAGUACCAUCUCCAGUUACAGCAACA
RNAcentral lists this unclassified non-coding RNA (281 nucleotides) under Hevea brasiliensis (rubber tree). The record is from RNAcentral. Lineage: Eukaryota; Viridiplantae; Streptophyta; Magnoliopsida; Malpighiales; Euphorbiaceae.